AAAAUGGGGAGGAUUCUCUCAACUCUCCCCCAGCCGGUUCAACGCGCGCAACUCUUAUCGGCCCAGAACGAGGGCCGGAAAUCUCCAAACAACCCCAAAAUCUCUCAAAUACUCAGAUCUAAUCCCCUAAACCUAGAUCUAGGACUAAAAACCUCUAAAACAACCUAAAUGACUAAAAAACUCCCCGACCAUUCGGUUUCCACUUGCCCAGACCACCGCGAAGAUCUCAGACCAAGGGAACAAGGAUGAUGGGAGUAGGUGUGGUGGGUGAACUGCCUUCGACUUCUGAUGCUGAAAAAUGGUGAUUAUAUAAACCUAUAUUUUUGUACUGCUAUGUUAAGCCGACCAUUAGAGAAAUCACAAACAAUCACUAAUCAAUAAUCAUAUUGUAUUAAUAUCCGUGUGUACUAAGUUGAUUGUAGGCCUAAACAUGGCCUUAUAUUUAGUGAGGAUAUAAAAAUUUCAAGCUUAUUA
Long non-coding RNA from Hibiscus syriacus, 474 nucleotides. RefSeq lists it as uncharacterized. Lineage: Eukaryota; Viridiplantae; Streptophyta; Magnoliopsida; Malvales; Malvaceae. The record is from RefSeq and is a predicted model, not a curated record. The transcript has 2 exons.